GCGAGGAGGGCGCAUAUGAAUCGAAGAUUCAUAUUUAGGAUGCGCCCGACAACCUACCACAGAGCGGAUGCGAUGUGGUGAUACCCGAG
RNAcentral lists this small RNA (89 nucleotides) under unclassified sequences. Its description in RNAcentral is "GA-cis RNA". It matches the Rfam family "GA-cis RNA". The record is from Rfam by way of RNAcentral.